GCACCGGCUAACUCCGCUGCCAGCAGCCGCGGAUAAUACGGAGGGUGCGAGCGUUAAUCGGAAUUACUGGGCGUAAAGGGUGCGUAGGUGGUUUAAUAAGUUAGAUGUGAAAUCCCUGGGGCUUAACCUGGGGSWGACAUUUAAUACUGUUUGACUGGAGUAUUGGAGAGGGUAGUGGAAUUUCCGGUGUAGCGGUSAAAUGCGUAGAGAUCGGAAGGAACACCASUGGCGAAGGCGGCUACCUGGCCAGAUACUGACACUGAAGCACGAAAGCGUGGGGAGCAAACAGGAUUAGAUACCCUGGUAGUCCACGCUGUAAA
RNAcentral lists this ribosomal RNA (320 nucleotides) under uncultured Legionella sp. RNAcentral's name for it is "bacterial SSU rRNA". It matches the Rfam family "Bacterial small subunit ribosomal RNA", at positions 490 to 806 of the family's 1533-position model. Lineage: Bacteria; Pseudomonadati; Pseudomonadota; Gammaproteobacteria; Legionellales; Legionellaceae. The record is from RNAcentral.